Molecule: long non-coding RNA, 1215 nt
Organism: Helianthus annuus (common sunflower)
Lineage: Eukaryota; Viridiplantae; Streptophyta; Magnoliopsida; Asterales; Asteraceae
Exons: 3
Source: RefSeq, a predicted model, not a curated record
GGGCUCUUACAUUUUUUUUUUGAACGGCUAAUUUUAUUCCUCUUAAAUACUUACACCUCAUAAGGAUUGAACCUUGGUCUUCCCACAAGAAAUAAUUUCUCUUGACCACGGGUAUAGCCUAAGUUAUUAGGGCUCUUACAUGGUUUAUGCUAAUUUUUUCUUAAUUAUUAGAAGUAAUUUGGAGUUUAGGGAACCUAAAUUUUAUGCACGUAAUGAAAGGGGACCCAUAAAAUCUCAGUAAUUGAUUUGAAAGGCUGUGGAUUGCUAAUUGAAUUGAAGUUUAUAGUGCAUUCUGCUUUAGACAAGUUCAAAUCAAGCCUUCGUUUUGAUUUGAAGCUCGAGCUUGAGCCGGAUAAUAAUUAUUCAUAAAUGGGUCAAUUUGUAUCAGCAAGGAGUGUCAGUGUGCGUGAAAACCUAGACGCAACAACAGUCCGUAAGCUUUCCCCCUGAAAGUUUGAAGCUUCUCUCGUUGUUGCUGACCGAAACAAUGCCUGGUGGUAUCAGAGCUUCGGUUUGUCAAAUGGCUCAGCGUGGAGAGAGAUGCUUGCUCGAUCGUAGAAUCGCCGACAGAGGCAACGACAGAAGUAUGUUCGAUUCACGUGCCCAUGUUAGAGAUCGAUAUUCUAUUAACAGACCUGCCGACCUAUAUAGCACGGGGACGAUACGGGUACGGGGAACGACAAAACUCAAAAAUCCAAGAUACGGGUACGGCAAAGAUUAUAUAGGCUGGAUUCGUUUGUUUUGUACUAUGUGUGGAAUGCCGAAUGCCAAGAUACAUCUGUUAGUGACCAAUUUGCAUCAAAUAUGUUCACAACCAGUUUGAGACCGUUUUGAGACUCACCUUAUUUGUGACUUGCUUUUAUGACCCGGCCAAAUUCUCUGGCCCGACCCAUUUUCCCGCCAAACCCCCCAAUUGAAGCUUUCUGGAUUCGUUACUGCAUUUCAAAGCAAAGAGUGUUGAAGGUGCUUAUUUUUAUUGGCUUUGUUACAUUACCAUAUGAAAAUGCCUUCUGGCUAUCAAUAUCUAUGUUGUGUUUAGUGUUUCAUAGUUUAUGUAAUUUCUUGAUGUUGAACUGCACCUUGGGACCCUUUGACUUUUGUAGUCAAACAUGUGUGCUACUGCAUUUGUAAUCCUCAUGUUCAUUGGUCAUCAUUAUGGAUAUUGCAAAUCUGAGGCUGAUCCAGAUAAUCAUAAGAUAGAUAUGAAUCAGUAAG